This is a long non-coding RNA of Helianthus annuus (common sunflower), 602 nucleotides long. RefSeq lists it as uncharacterized. The transcript has 4 exons. NCBI's taxonomy places the organism in Eukaryota, Viridiplantae, Streptophyta, Magnoliopsida, Asterales, Asteraceae. The record is from RefSeq and is a predicted model, not a curated record.
CAAUUUUCAGGGAAAGUAUCUUGAGUAAAGUGCAGUGAAACUCGUGCAUAUAAUUACUGAAUCAGCUAAUAACAGACAAAGUGUCGAUGACAUAAGUGAUUUAUUCAUGAAAAUCAGUUGGAUUCAAUAUUCAAAGUGAAGGUCUUAAGAAAUUGUCAAAUAUCGGACCAGAGGCUAAGUUAAAGGAAAGGGUCAAAGUGCUUGAUGAUGAACAAGAUCAUUUCUGUUGAAGAAAGAAGAUAUUCUGCAAAUCAACAACACACAUCCAAAAUACUUCAUAAUUGGUGGAAAGGAGGCUACAUCUAUUUCCAUUAUUUGGUUCAUUUACAUGCUCUUGAAACAUCCUGAGAUUCAAGAUAUGGUUGAAUAAGAAAUCAAAGAAGCAACAAACAUGAGAAACAAAUUCAAGAUAAGCUUCAUGUAACUUGGAACAAAACUCUCGCGAGUCUAUCCUGCAUCUCAGUGUGAUAGGGAUACGGAGCUAAUCCAUGAUCUAGCAGACUGCAGACUCGUAUUUGGUGCAACUAGACAAAUUGAAGUUAUACGAGGAUAAGUAAUGGACAAAUGUCUCAACAAGCCACACACGUGGACAAAUGCUAUAG